Molecule: unclassified non-coding RNA, 240 nt
Filed under: plant metagenome
Description: partial contains small subunit ribosomal RNA and internal transcribed spacer 1
Rfam family: Eukaryotic small subunit ribosomal RNA (bases 1-46)
Source: RNAcentral
AAGUCGUAACAAGGUCUCCGUUGGUGAACCAGCGGAGGGAUCAUUGCUGGAACGCCGCCCAGGCCGCAGACCCCUAGAAACCCAUUUUGUGCAAUCUUAUACCUUUCACGUGUUGCCUCGGCGCUAGGCUGGCUUCCGCUUCGGGCCCCUCACCUGCGGUGUUGAGACGGCCCGCCGGCGGCCAACCUAACUCUUGUUUUUACACUGAAACUCUGAGAAUAAAACAUAAAUGAAUCAAAA